CGGAAGUAAGGGGGACUUUAAAGUUUAAAAAAAGAGGAAGUGGCGACUGUUUAAUAAAAACAUAAGAUUUUGCUAAAUUGAAAGAUGACGUAUAAAAUCUGACGCCUGCCCAGUGCUGCAAGACAAACAUUUCAGGUAUUGCUUGAAAUAUAAGUUCCAGUAAACGGCGGCCGUAACCCUGACGGUCCAAAAGGUAGCAAAAUUCCUUGACGGGUAAAUUCCGUCCCGCACGAAUGGCGUAACGACUGCUUCGCUGUCUCCAGUAUUAUCCUUGUGAAUUUGAAUUAGUCGUGAAAGAUGCGACUCGAUACAGCUAGACGGAAAGACCCUAUGCACCUUUACUGCGACCUAUUUCUAAAUUUAGAUUUAAACUUUUAGAGAGUGGGGUGGUAUGAAUACUUUAUGUGACAAAACCCAUAGUAUUAGAUCUAAAUUCUUAGCGUAUAUAUUUAUAAUUUUAUAUACAAAAUGUAGGGGGGG
RNAcentral lists this ribosomal RNA (480 nucleotides) under uncultured bacterium. RNAcentral's name for it is "bacterial LSU rRNA". It matches the Rfam family "Bacterial large subunit ribosomal RNA", at positions 1737 to 2266 of the family's 2925-position model. The record is from RNAcentral.